CCCGCUGAACUUAAGCAUAUCAUUAAGCGGAGGACAAGAAACUAACAAGGAUUCCCGUAGUAACUGCGAGUGAAGCGGGAUAAGCUCAGAUUUAUAAUCUGGCGGCUCCGUGCGUCCGAGUUGUGAUUUAGAGAAGUGCUAUCGGCGCCGGAGCUUGCACAAGUCUCCGGGAAUGGAGCGUCGUAGAGGGUGAGAAUACUUCCUUUGACACGGACUACCUGCGCACUGUGAUACUCUCUCAUUGAGUCUAGUUGUUUGGGCAUGUUGCUCAGAGUGGGUGAUAUAUUCCAUCUAAAGCUAAAUAUUGGUGAGAGACCGAUAGCUAAUAAGUUCCGUGAGGAAUAGAUGAAGAGUUCUUUGGAGAGAGAGUUAAACAGUACGUGUAAUUGCUGAAACGGAAACGCUUGCUGUCAGUCGCGUCGUCCAGGAUUCAGCCUUGCCUUUUGCUCGCUGCGCUUCCUGUUCCAUGGGUCAGCAUCAGUUUUGGCCGGUCGACAAAGGCUCAGAGAAUGUGGCACCCUCGCGUGUGUUAUAGCUCUGGGUCUUAUACAUCGGCUGGGUCUGAUGUGCUCCGCACGCGCGCAAGGCCGGGUUUCGACCACGUUCGUGCGUAGGAUGCUGGCAUAAUGGCUCUAAUCGACCCGUCUUGAACCAGG
Molecule: ribosomal RNA, 656 nt
Filed under: uncultured fungus
Lineage: Eukaryota; Fungi
Description: eukaryotic LSU rRNA
Rfam family: Eukaryotic large subunit ribosomal RNA
Source: RNAcentral